AACGGUCCCACCACAAGCAAUGUAAUUUUCAUUUUUCUUUUUACAUUGCCGGUUUAUUUUUCCACCGCUAUUGUUAGCCCACGGUCAGAUCAAGGUAAUCGUGCGCGGCCGGCGGUUUUGGAAAUUGGGCGAGCGAACGCAGUGGCGAUUGCGGCUGCCGGCGAGCUGCGGGCUGCGAGUGGCUAUAGCUGGGAAUAGAGGCCGGCGGUUCGUGGCAAGCGGGUGACCUCGCUGGCGCGCGUCGCUGCGGGCGGCCUGUGCGCCGUGCGGCUCAGCGCGGGUGGCCUCGUCUCGGCCGCAGCGGGCGCCGCCGGGAUUUGCAGGGGCGAGUGGCGUGGUUUGGGCAGGGCGGCGGGUGGACUCGGCGGUGUACGGCGUGAGUGGAUUCGUGCGAGAAGAGCGAUUCUUUUUUUUUUUUCCUCUGCCGGUGUGCUUCUACUGCUACCACGGAUUCUAUCGGAAGGAGUCCACACCAAGCCGGGAACCAACGCGGGCGGCUGGAGAACCAACGCCUCGUAUGUCUCUGGGGCCUCAUCGCCGGCUGGAAUCGAGUAUGGACACCUCACCUCGAUCUCAAUCUUCAUGAGCACCCACUGUUCCUGACCUCCACUAGUCGCUGAAAUCAACCAUCGCCUGUGUACACGAGUUUCCCCAAACCUGCAGUUCCCGUCUAAAUUCCAUCACCUCUAGAUGUCCCCCCAAAUCUCUGCGCACUCACAUUGCAGCUCAGCACGUAAUUUAUUGGUUUAGUUUUUAUUAGCCAAAUAUUUAUGGAGGUGCGAAUUCGAGUUUGAUUUAUUUCAAUUGCAUAGAGCUGGACUACUACUGAUCCUCACACCGAGCCUGUCAGACUUUGCUGCAUUUUUUUGUUUAGCCUGCACUCAAACCUGGAGUAAUCUUUUAUGGAUUUUUUUUGAUUGCUGAUUCAGGUUACUGGUUUUUAUUUUUCUGAAACAUAAACGAGAUAAUAAUGUGCUAUUUUGAUGCGUACUCAUGGAAUUGUAGCUUCGUAGAUGCGAAUGUGCUAUUUUUUUGCAGACUAUGCAACAGACUUGGAGACGAAGAGUAAGAAUCUAGAGGUAAUUUUGCGCUGACAAAAAAAUGUCAGUGUUUGUGUUCAUGUUAUAGCUAGGCUGUUGUCGCCUAAGGUGAGCUCAAGUCUAAAUCAUGUGAUUUUUUUAGUUCAGGAAUUUUUGCGAUAUUUAAUUUAGGUUUCGGUGUUCUAAUAUUGAUAAUUGAUAGGGUGGAUUAGAACUCUGCAAGUUAUAAUGAUUCAGGGACUGCCAUAACUACAAUUGUGAGUGAUCAUGUGUAGGUAGAUUCAGUUGCAAGACUUCAUGUUCAUAUCCUCCCUGGCCACCGGAGUAAUGACCUAGAGCCCUGCUCCAGCGCUCCUCGCCACUAGCAUUGCUCCGGCCACCCCCACUAUUUUCUUCGUCGCUGGCGUCCGAUGAGCCCCGCAUCCCUCCAUCGUCGACACAAAUAAAUCCCUCCAUCAGCUACUUGGUCGGCUUAGACGGCGAGCUGCGCCGGUGUGCUUCUUUACUGAUUUCAGUGGUAUGCAACCCUUGAUUGGUGCUGGCUGCUCCUUAAUUUCCCCCCGGUAUUCUUCAGCACCGCCCUAUUUCUACCAAUUUGGAUGACUCCCCUAUUUACAUUCUCGCGUUUGACGAGGCGCCAAAUCACCAUAGACAUGGCACUGAAAUGUUGGCACAUUAGCAGGAGAGCCUCCAGCUGUUGUUUGAUGGAGUCGAGUGUGAUGUUUGUGUCAAGAAGACCACCACCAAGAUUAGUAGGCGAAAGGAGAACCAGUACAGAGCUGAAGAUCUCUCCUACCUCAUCCUCCAUGAUUUGAACGAUAUAAGGCCUUCACCUGAAGUUCAGGCCCAUGUUAACCCAUCUGUAAAAAUUGCUUUGAAGUUCCACUUGUGCAUCCUCUCCCAAAAAAGAAAGUUGCACUUCUGUAUAUAGCCAAAUAUUUCUAUUCUAGUGCCCACGUACAUGUAAUGUUUUUGCUUAUGAAUGUGUCUUUUUAUUGGUGUCGUCCAACCAAACAUAUCCUGAAAUGUCUGUGGUGCUUGAAUGAUGCAUGGCUUGUAUGCUACCUUCUGUAAUUCAACAUGUUAUGUCCACUGUGUACCAUUUUUUUA
This is a long non-coding RNA of Lolium perenne, 2150 nucleotides long. RefSeq lists it as uncharacterized. The record is from RefSeq and is a predicted model, not a curated record. NCBI's taxonomy places the organism in Eukaryota, Viridiplantae, Streptophyta, Magnoliopsida, Poales, Poaceae.